UACGUGCACGAAAUAAAAAAACCUCAACCAACUUUAAAUGAGUUACACGGAGCAGCACAUACAGCCCUGAGCAAAUACAUCAAGAGUACCCUUGCCUCUGGGGAGAUGAGAUUCUUAUUUAAAGCUGUAGAACAGUGCUGAUGUACCUUCAGAACAGUUAAAAAAAAAAAAAAAAAAAAAACGAACAAAUGCAAAACUAGAACAGACAUUAUUCAUCAUCUGAGUUGGCAGAUCCUCCUCCUGCUCUUCUUUCUUGGGAGAUACUUACUUAGUGGCUACCGUGUGCUUGGCACUAAGAAUGCGGGCUACAAUACAGCCCCUCCUUCCCUGAGGAGACUCAGGAGGGCAGUGGGGUCAACUUAGUAAUAGCAGCAACUCCACAAGAGCCAAACACUCAGAGGGGGCUCAGGAAGGGACAGAGGGAAGAACCGUGUGGGAGUUUUCUUGUGCCUCCUAAAGGAAGCACGGUGCUCUGAAGCCAAGGUUCUGGGGAAGCCAACAUUGCUACGAACCUGGGCUUGCAGGACAAGUGUUCCCCACAUCUUCUGCAAAGCAAAGAUAGACUGCUAUCAACUUAAGAGAACUGGGUUCCAGAGGUGACUCUUCGGUAAGUCAUCAACCCCCACCUGCAUAGGAAAGACCCCUUUCCUAAGCUAGCCAAUGCAGGACACCUCGUGAACAGGACUUCUCAAUCACUGUAUUUUCAUAUAUUCACACGGCUUUCCUGCAAACUUUUAUUUAUUUAUUUAUUUAUUUUGGGACAGAGUCUCGCUCUGUCGCCAGGCUAGAGUGCUGUGGUGCGAUCUCGGCUCACUGCAACCUCCAACUCCCCGGUUCAAAGGAUUCUCCUGCCUCUGCCUCCCGAGUAGUCCUGCAAACUUUUCUUAAAUGACAUAUUUUAAAGAAUGUCCAUCUGAGUACAGCACAGAAAGGUUCUCCUGGUUAUGGUGGCUGCCUGAGUUCAGCAGUAACGACCAAGCCAGAGGACGGAACUGGCAAUCUGCAAGAGUCAUUGCGAUGGGCUGGAGUCCAGUCAGGGGAAAAGUGUUGGACAAGAAGAACCACAACCUGCUCAUCAACCGAUUCCAUGCCAGGGGAAGUCUACCCACAAAAGAACCUCCUCCCCUCAAGGUCC
RNAcentral lists this long non-coding RNA (1135 nucleotides) under Pan troglodytes (chimpanzee). Its description in RNAcentral is "long non-coding RNA NONPTRT013941". The record is from RNAcentral. Lineage: Eukaryota; Metazoa; Chordata; Mammalia; Primates; Hominidae.